AACCUCCUGUCUUGUUUCUGGUUCUGAUCCAGAUGAGGAGUUUCCUGUCUAGAAGAACUGAAGAGCACAAAUCUGAGCCCAGUACGUCUUUAAAUCCACUUUUACAUUUUCUGCUUCAUGAUGCUUCAAACUUGUUUAAAACUUUAUCGAACAUCUUCCAAUAACAACACGAUAACACAAAAACUGCUGACUGUGAACCAUUCACACCUUCAUCUCUGAUCCAGAGGAACCUGUGUGUGAGGAAGAGGAGGCUGGAGGACAGGAACUCCCCAAGGAUGAAGAGCAACCAACACGUAUGUCCAGUACAAGAACUUUUGACAAUGAUGGUGAUUUUUGCAGUGAGGUCUUAGUCGUUGCAAAAUCAAGAUGUAAUCUUUUUGUUUCUGUUUCGCUCAGAUGUGGGGUGGAGAUGAAGCAGCACAGAGCACCAGUCUCCAUCAGAACCCGAAGAACCGGAAUCAGCAGACACCAAAAGCAAGGUUCAGAUACGAUGUGAUGUCACCACUCAGAGAGGUUUGGGUCACACAGAACGACUCUAAUGGUCCUCCUUUGUUGGAUUUCUUUCUUACAGAGGUCGGUCUGUGAAGAUGAAGUGCAGUAGGAAUGAUCCGCUAAACCUCCGUGUCAGUCUCCUGAAGGACUCCCACUCCAAAGUGCUCAAAAGAAGCGGUAAGAGUCCAACAGAACCCUGGUAUGACCCGCCAGGAUAUCUGGAGGAAUCUCUUAGGGCACCGACCCGUGUUGGAAAAUAAAAAGACCAAACGAUGUCCUUAUUAUUUGGAAGUGAGGUUAGAAUGUGUGUUCCCUUCAGCUUUUUGAUGAACUUGUGUAAGUGCUCAUGUGUCCGGUGAAGGACCUGACGUGUCCUCGGCGCCUGCAGGAGUCCGACUUCCUGGACCUGCUGAGGUCCACCUUCCCUCAGCUGACCGGAGGGUUUGACGUCUUCACAGUCGACUCCAACAGGAGACUGAUGCCUCUGAAACUACAGACACUGACACCAGAGGAGAUCCAGCGGUCCAUCAGAUCCACAGGGAAAAGAAGAUCAGCGCUGUAUAUCAGAGUUAAGAGAGCAAAGACAACCAGCCCAGAACAACUUCUUCCUCCAGAGACAACAGACGAGAACACCGCCAAUACAAGCCGAGAUGAUAACAGAACUCAUGCGAGGUGAGACCAGACCAGACAGAGAGGACGAUGUGUUCAGGAGCUGGACGUCAGCAAGCUCCGUUCAGCUCAGUGUUUCAGUAACAAGAGUUAAAUAAAUGACACUGUCUGUUUUCUACCUUCAGUUCCGACCACAGUCCUGUUGAAAAAGUGGAGAGCAACAAAGCAGAUCAUCAGUCUGGCAACUCAAGAUAACAACAACAAGUGAAGGUGGAGGAAGACGGGCAACAAUGUGGAGUAUCACAGGACUCUAGUGGCUCGUCUUCUGCCCACGCUGCUGCUGAGAGCGAAGGAGAACAUGGAGAUGAUGAUGAUGAGGAGGUGGAGGUGGGGGAAGAAGACGACGGAGAUGAUGAAUGGGAGCCAGACAAGAAUGACAAGGCGCUGAGUGAGGACCAAGCUGAACCGAAACCAUCGAAGACGACGAGGAAGCGGCGAGUCAAACAUCCAGGAUACAAAACAAAGAGACGGAAACAGAAGGGGCCUUGACUGAAAACAGCGACGCUGUUCUGUCCUGUCCUGUAAAGUCUGCCAUG
Molecule: long non-coding RNA, 1697 nt
Filed under: Sparus aurata (gilthead seabream)
Lineage: Eukaryota; Metazoa; Chordata; Actinopteri; Spariformes; Sparidae
Description: lncRNA (ENSSAUG00010005396.1)
Source: RNAcentral